GCAAUUUUAGUUUAAUUAAAAUGGUGGUUUGUCUAACCUUUGAUGAUAUUAUUUUUAUCAAGUUGCU
Molecule: transfer RNA, 67 nt
Filed under: Mesocestoides corti
Lineage: Eukaryota; Metazoa; Platyhelminthes; Cestoda; Cyclophyllidea; Mesocestoididae
Also listed under: 1 other name
Description: tRNA-Asp
Source: RNAcentral